GGCGCGCGCGCGCACGGGGUCGGGCGCUCCCGGGCGGCGGUGGCACCACGUAGCCGCCUCCUUCCACCGCUCGCUUUAUCCCCGCCCCUUCUCGGGCCAACCCCAAGCGCCGCUGACCCCGAACGUCGCUGCGGGGUAGGUAGGGGGUGGGAGGGUGGAGGACCGCAGGCGAGAGGGAGAAGGAAGGGCGCCCGGGGAGCAGGCUGGCAGAGUGACCGGGAUUGAUGAGCGGCGCAGCUCUGGAGGGACGCGGGCGAGAGGGUCGCUCCUCGGGGAGAGGGCUGGUUUUGCCUUUUCCGGAAUGCCAUAUAUAAGGAAUCAUACAGUAUGCAGUCUUUCUUUCAAUUUUGCUGUGAAACUAAAACUGCUAAGAAAAUAAAGUCUUAAAAAGAAAAAUCAAUGGAGAAGGGAAAGGAGAAAAGGAGAAAAAUUUUCUGUCUGAAUACUGCUAAGGCCACCUCCCUUAUAACUCUGAGGUUGAAAAAUGGUUAAUAAGUUUAACUACUGACAAGUUAAUCAGCUCUUCAAGUGGCAGUGAAAACAGCCGCCCUGCUGGUUGCCUCCACACCCCUCCUGCCGCCUUCCUCUCAGAACCCUAGCAGCUGUGUUCAGCGUCCCCCUCUUAAAGCAGCCACAUGCUCUGGGAAGACUGGCCCUCUGCGUCACAUCUGGCAGUCCCAUUCCUCUUGCUAAUGUGUGGUUCAGGAAUGGGCAGGUGGCCCAAUUCUGGUCAACAAGCCAUGAGAAGAAUCUGCUAGAGGUUUCCUUGCAUCUAAGAAAUGGUCUCUUUCGCCCUUGGACUUGGUUGGGUUUGGAUGUGAUGCCUCGAUCCUCUACAGCCUGAUGACAAAGACCACACCAAGGAUGGCAGAGUGGAAGGAUAAAAAGAACCAGGGCCUUCCAGCCUUUGUUGUAUGGCUGACUUAACCAACCUUGAAGGUGGCCUUACUCACGACUUCCUGUCAGAUGAGACAAAUUUCUUGGUUAAGAUACUUUGACAGGGGUUUUCCGUUUCAUACAACUGAAAGUAUCCUGACUUAAACACCUUUUGAGGUUCUGCCCCAAGCCUUUAUUGAUUUUCUCCUCUUGAAUCACCACCAGCAUUUCUGCAUUUCUCUUAGUACCACGUUUUUUCUAUUCCCCACACCCACCACCCCCUCUCUUCCCUAGCUGUUUCUGUCUCAAACAAUACAGGGAAACAUUUUAGGGUGUCUGACAGAUCACACCCACCCCUUUCUCAGACCUUCUCAACCACAAGGUGCUCUCCCACCUCCAGCGAGGUUUGUACUUCACAGUUGAUGGGGUCCCGGUAGAUUCAGGCUGGGCCAACCUGAGAGUCUGUCUCAGUAACAAAGGGAACCCUGCGCCCAGCUGAAGUGCAGGCAAUGUUUACCCGAAAGCUGGGGGUGGGUCCGCAUUUCCAGGAGGAAGCCAAGACUCUCCCUCAUCCUCUGCAGAAAGAGGAAGGAAGCCUAAACAGAGAAAAACAGUAGCAGAGUCUGACAGCCUGGGUGCUGUGUAUGGUUGUGCAUUUUGUGCUCUGAAAGGCUCCCAUCCCUGCUAAAGGCCUGCUUCUAGAUUUAAAGAGGACUCUGUCUUUGAGGUCUAUGAGAUUUUUAGAUGGAAUCAUUCAUCACAUCCCAUUUGGGCUUUAGAUACUUUGAAGUGAGUAUCUCAAAUUUUCAAAUCAAAGAACCCUGAUUAAAACAAAAGGUCUUCUCACCUCAAAUCCUUUAUGAAAUGAGGUCAACUUAAAAUACUUUUUAGUUAGCUAUGAUAUAAAAUUAAACUAUAUUUUUGUUAUAGUUAAUGAAUUAAUAUUGUAUCUUCUGUUCCUUAGUCGAAAAGUGAGCAGUUAAAUGGUCUAUUUCUCUAACAAAACAAUUAACUGAUUCCUCAGGAUUUACCGCCCACUGUGACCCUCUUGCCCUGUGCCCACACAUACCUACUAAAGACCAGUUUUCAGAUCCCCAGGAAUAACAUAAAAUGGGGCAUAUCUGUCUCGUAAAUAUGAUUGAAUAAGCAUAUGUAGAGCACAGUUGUUUCACUUUUAAGAAUCAAUUAUAAUCAUUUGUACAAUAAAAUGAAUUAUGUCUUUCACAC
Molecule: long non-coding RNA, 2103 nt
Filed under: Homo sapiens (human)
Lineage: Eukaryota; Metazoa; Chordata; Mammalia; Primates; Hominidae
Description: HSALNT0321056
Source: RNAcentral